UACCAGCACCCCGAGUGGUCGGGACGUUUAUUGGGCCUAAAGCCUCCGUAGCCGGUUCUACAAGUCUUCCGUUAAAUCCUACUGCUUAACAGGUGGGCUGCGGAAGAUACUAUAGAGCUAGGAGGCGGGAGAGGCAAGCGGUACUCGAUGGGUAGGGGUAAAAUCCGUUGAUCCACUGAAGAACACCAGUGGCGAAGGCGGCUUGCCAGAACGCGAUCGACGGUGAGGGAUGAAAGCUGGGGGAGCAAACCGG
RNAcentral lists this ribosomal RNA (253 nucleotides) under uncultured bacterium. Its description in RNAcentral is "partial 16S ribosomal RNA". It matches the Rfam family "Archaeal small subunit ribosomal RNA", at positions 474 to 727 of the family's 1478-position model. The record is from RNAcentral.